CUGUUGAGUUUGCUGCAGUUCAAGACAAAAAUUUCGCAAUAUUCAAUUCCCAAUCUUAUCUUCUCAACCCACCACGCACAGAUCUAGAAUUUCAAAAAAUAAAAAUAUCAGAGACUUCUUCAUCAGAUCCGUUGUACACAAAUCUUCGCCGGAAUCUCCAUAGCCAUGCCUCCUUCUACACAAAUCUUAUCGCCGAUGCUUCUUCAUCUUUGAUCCGUUCCUUCGCCGUAAAGGUUUCCUGCUCCACCGGAAAGGUUUCCUGCUCCACCGGAAAGGUUUCCUGCUCCGCCAGAAAGGUUUCCUGCUCGCAACUCGCUCCUCCGCUUCUUCACCGCGGGUAACUACGUACCUUCCUCUUCUCCUCUGCUCCACCGCCUGUAACACUGCCUUGUAACAUCGGAAAAGGUAUCCUGCUCUUUUUCAAUUUUGUUGUUUUAAUUUCUUCAACUAUUUCUAUGGCCUAAUAAAAAAAAAAUCUUCCAAUUUUAAUUAUUUCCCACAUUUUAAUUAUGUUGAAUUAAUUUCGCAAUUUGUAUGACCUAAUAAAAAAUAAAAUUCAUUAACCAGGAACUGAAAAAUAUUAGGAUAUUGAAUUGGAAAGUGAUAUUUAACACUUAAAAGUCUCUAAUUUUAUAUUCAUUUGAUAAGAAUAUCGGUAGAUUUAUAUCUUAAUUUUCAAUGAAACCUUUACAUUUAUGAGUUCAAGAUAAUUUUAAUGGGAACAUUGUAUUUGGUGUUAUACUUGCUUGAAUGUACAAAUUUGUAUCUGCGUUUCUUAAAUUCGGUAGCCAAUUUGGUCGAAGGGUUUUGCAUCCUGUCGUAUUUUUGUGUUUUGCGCCACGAGCGUAUCGUAAUUGUAUUUUAGAUAGUGAUGAUGAGUUGAUGACUACUGAUGAUGAUGGGAAAGGGUAUAACCCUAUUGAGAAAUUUCCAGGGAACUCUGAGAGAGUUAAGAUUUUGAUCUGGGUUUGGAUAGAGUAAGUAAAGAGCAAGAUGAAUAUGCCUGAUGUUUGGGGUGAUGAAGAUCAUAAACUAAUAUUUAAUUUUUUUGGUGUACGUCUAAUAUUUUGUUUGAGUCUGUUUGCUCAUGAUCAUCUGUAGGAUCGCUUCCAACCCUGCCCUUCCAACACCCAUUGUUUCUCAUUCAGUAUUUUAUGUGUUUUGAGCAUUUGAACUUGCUUAGAUUAAUCAAUGUUGUUUGAACCAGUAGAAAUUAUUAGUAGUAUUGAUCUUCAUAAUUCAGGAAUAUGGUUAAUUCUACAGAUUAAAGAAGUUUAGUUUUAUGUGGUAAUGUUGUCUGAAUCUGUUAUAUCGAAUCAACUUGAUUGGAAGCCUUUGGGUACAGGCAUUCUUGAACCAACUUGAUUGGAAGCCUCUGGCAAUGGAGAUCCAUUCCCUGCACCUUUUGACACUAGGCUUAGAGUUAUAAGCUCCUUUUUGACAUGCUGGUAGAGUAGAAAAGUAAUUUUUACCUUUCGCAUUUACUGCAGCCUUAACAUUCGGUUUGACAAAGGCCGGCACUGAGAAUGAUCAGAAUGAAGGUUUUUAAUUCGAUUUUUGAGGGUUUUUGGCUUGGAUCUGAUAUCGUGUAUUUUCUGCCUAAUUGUUGUUUGAAGUUGUUGCGGAAUGCAUGAAUUAGGGUUAUUGCUAUGUUUGCUUGUAGUUGUUCCAUGGCAAUUGUGCUAUAUUUCUUGGAUACUGCUAGCUCUUCCCCAAGUUAUCUUUAUAAUGGAAACGUGGUUAAGACUAAUCAGAAUCCUGAUAUUGAAUCAAGGUAAGCUACCUAUAUAUUCCCAAUUUCCCAUAGGCAAAGUUAUUAAAUUGUUUAAUCUCCUGCAUAAAUUCAAUUGAUAGCCAUAUAAUCAAAACAAGUUGGGGCGUGAUAUGUGAGGUUCGCACAAUGUGACUAGUAUUUUGCAUUAGAGGCAUGAUUUGCAUUUUCUGAAGCUGGAUAUCAGUGCACAGAACUGAUCAGAACUGUGCACUGAUCUGCAUGUGAACUGAUCUGCACAGUUUCUGAUCAGUUUUGUGCACUGAUCUGCACAGCUCUGAUCAGUUCUAUGCAGAUCAUUGCACAGUUCUGAUCAGUUCUGUGCACUGAUCUGCAUAGUUCUGAUAAGUUCUAUGCAGAUCAUUCCACAGUUCUGAUCAGUUCUGUGCACUGUUCUGCGCACAGUUCUGAUCAAUUCUAUGCAGAUUUUCACAUUUUCUCACCCCAUUUUCGCAUUUUUGCAUUUUUGCACCCAAUUUUCAUAUUUUCGCACCCAAUUUUUAACUAAAGAAACUAAGGAUUGAUUUCAAACUUAUUACAUGUUUCAUAUGCAUAGUUUUAACUUUCUUAGACUCAUUCCAACAUAUUUUCUGAAGCAGUUUUUCGCUUGAAUCUUUGACAGGAGAGUGCACUAGCAAUGUGUUGUCUGAAAAUCGUCCACCAUCAGAAUGGUAGGCAGCUACUUUGAGGUUAGAGGAUACAUUAAUCGAACUUUAUCUGUCGGGCUAUCCAAAUACAGCAUCUGAAGUUGUUGAUAACCAACAGCUUCCGAAGGAAACAGAUGACGAAGAUGGUUUUAUGUUGACAACUGAUGGGUUAUGUACAAAGAGAAAUGCCAUACUCUAAUGAGGAGUUAGAAGAAACUCGAGAACAAUGGGCAAAGUAAUUUAAGGACAACUAUUUGAUGGAUGCCGACGAAUGAGUUUGUUGUCUAGUAAUGUUAUGUUUUAUGUUUUUGUUAUGUAUUGGAUAUGACGUUGGAUGCUACUUGGAGCAUAUAUAUGGUUGUUGGAACAUAUAUGUAUGUUAUGUCUUAUAUACAGGUCUUUAGAAAUUCCCGUUUUGUCCGGGUUUCGCAAAUUACAAGGGAAAUUAUGGCAAAUUUUUUGCAACCUAUUAAACUAUUUAUAAUGUUUUUAUUAUAA
Spinacia oleracea (spinach) is the source of this 2916-nucleotide RNA transcript. RefSeq lists it as uncharacterized. The transcript is spliced from 3 exons. The record is from RefSeq and is a predicted model, not a curated record. NCBI's taxonomy places the organism in Eukaryota, Viridiplantae, Streptophyta, Magnoliopsida, Caryophyllales, Amaranthaceae.